UUGUGACCGUUCAACUGGGCAUU
This 23-nucleotide microRNA is filed under the name Melibe leonina. Its description in RNAcentral is "mle-miR-2001-5p". Lineage: Eukaryota; Metazoa; Mollusca; Gastropoda; Nudibranchia; Dendronotidae. The record is from miRBase by way of RNAcentral.